This 73-nucleotide transfer RNA is filed under the name Ailuropoda melanoleuca (giant panda). It matches the Rfam family "tRNA". From Rfam's summary of the family: Transfer RNA (tRNA) molecules are approximately 80 nucleotides in length. Their secondary structure includes four short double-helical elements and three loops (D, anti-codon, and T loops). Lineage: Eukaryota; Metazoa; Chordata; Mammalia; Carnivora; Ursidae. The record is from Rfam by way of RNAcentral.
GCCUGGCUGGCUCAGUCGGUGGAACAUGUGACUCUUGAUCUCGGGGUUGUGAGUUCGAGCCCCACGUUGGGUG